ACCUGGCUGCAGAAAAUGGUCAAACGGAAUGUUUACAGUGGCUUCUGGAGAACACAAAAGCCGACCCCCAUCUGGUUGCCAAGGACGGAAGUAACCCAUUGCAUGCAGCAGCCGCUGAAGGACAUUUACAAUGUGUACAUUGGUUAGUACGAAGGCAUUGUUUUUCCCUCGCUGUGCCUCGAAGUACCGAUAGUGCCACACCAUUACAUCUUGCUGCAGCUAAAGGAAGAACAAACGUUACAGUGGGCGUUACAGCAGAGGUUAUGUAGCGGGAGUGAAAUAGACAGAAAUGGUCGAACACUGUGCAUUAUGCUGCCCUCAACGACCAAGUGAACGCUUUGAAAGUGUUUCUCCGCUUCCAACCGAUUGAUGUAAAUGCCGAGGAUAACGACAGUCGAACACCCAGG
Molecule: long non-coding RNA, 407 nt
Organism: Saccoglossus kowalevskii
Lineage: Eukaryota; Metazoa; Hemichordata; Enteropneusta; Harrimaniidae
Source: RefSeq, a predicted model, not a curated record